RNAcentral lists this ribosomal RNA (142 nucleotides) under uncultured Alphaproteobacteria bacterium. RNAcentral describes it as "partial 16S ribosomal RNA". It matches the Rfam family "Bacterial small subunit ribosomal RNA", at positions 537 to 678 of the family's 1533-position model. Lineage: Bacteria; Pseudomonadati; Pseudomonadota; Alphaproteobacteria. The record is from RNAcentral.
AGCGUUGUUCGGAAUUACUGGGCGUAAAGCGCGCGCAGGCGGUCUUCCAAGUCAGUGGUGAAAGCCCGGAGCUCAACUCCGGAACUGCCAUUGAAACUAGGUAGCUAGAAUCUUGGAGAGGUCAGUGGAAUUCCGAGUGUAG